Molecule: ribosomal RNA, 343 nt
Filed under: uncultured bacterium
Lineage: Bacteria
Description: bacterial SSU rRNA
Rfam family: Bacterial small subunit ribosomal RNA
Source: RNAcentral
CCUACGUGUAGGAGCUUGACGGUACCGUAAGAAUAAGGAUCGGCUAACUCCGUGCCAGCAGCCGCGGUAAUACGGAGGAUCCAAGCGUUAUCCGGAAUCAUUGGGUUUAAAGGGUCCGUAGGCGGUUUAAUAAGUCAGUGGUGAAAGCCCAUCGCUCAACGAUGGAACGGCCAUUGAUACUGUUAGACUUGAAUUACUAGGAAGUAACUAGAAUAUGUAGUGUAGCGGUGAAAUGCUUAGAUAUUACAUGGAAUACCAAUUGCGAAGGCAGGUUACUACUAGUGGAUUGACGCUGAUGGACGAAAGCGUGGGGAGCGAACAGGAUUAGAUACCCUGGUAGUCC